This 995-nucleotide ribosomal RNA is filed under the name Jeotgalibacillus marinus. RNAcentral's name for it is "bacterial SSU rRNA". It matches the Rfam family "Bacterial small subunit ribosomal RNA", at positions 28 to 978 of the family's 1533-position model. The record is from RNAcentral. Lineage: Bacteria; Bacillati; Bacillota; Bacilli; Caryophanales; Caryophanaceae.
GGGAAAGGGGCGCGUGCCGAUUCAUUGCAGUUCGAAGCGGAAGUUUCUGGAAGCUUUGCUCCAGAAGAGUUAGCGGCGGACGGGUGAGUAACACGUGGGCAAUCUGCCCGUAAGACUGGGAUAACUCCGGGAAACCGGGGCUAAUACCGGAUAACCCUGACUCUCUCCUGAGAGUCAGUUGAAAGAUGGUUUCGGCUAUCACUUACGGAUGAGCCCGCGGCGCAUUAGCUAGUUGGUGAGGUAACGGCUCACCAAGGCGACGAUGCGUAGCCGACCUGAGAGGGUGAUCGGCCACACUGGGACUGAGACACGGCCCAGACUCCUACGGGAGGCAGCAGUAGGGAAUCUUCCGCAAUGGACGAAAGUCUGACGGAGCAACGCCGCGUGAGUGAAGAAGGUUUUCGGAUCGUAAAACUCUGUUGUCAGGGAAGAACACGUACGAGAGUAACUGCUCGUACCUUGACGGUACCUGACCAGAAAGCCACGGCUAACUACGUGCCAGCAGCCGCGGUAAUACGUAGGUGGCAAGCGUUGUCCGGGAAUUAUUGGGCGUAAAGCGCGCGCAGGUGGUUCCUUAAGUCUGAUGUGAAAGCCCCCGGCUCAACCGGGGGAGGGUCAUUGGAAACUGGGGGAACUUGAGUGCAGGAGAGGAAAGUGGAAAUUCCACGUGUAGCGGUGAAAUGCGUAGAUAUGGUGGGAGGGAACACCAGGUGGCGAAGGCCGACUUUCUGGGCCUGUAACUGACACUGAGGCGCGAAAGCGUGGGGGAGCAAACAGGAUUAGAUACCCUGGGUAGUCCCACGCCCGUAACGAAUGAGUGCUAGUGUUUGGGGGGUUUCCCGCCCCCCCUCCACUGCCUGCCAGCUAACGCCAUUAAGGCACUCCGCCUGGGGGAGUUACCGGACGCAUGCUGAAACUCAAAGUACGACUGGGACCCGCCACAGCCGAUGUAGCCAUGUGAUUUAUUCGAGCAUCGCGGGACACCACUUACCAGG